This 464-nucleotide ribosomal RNA is filed under the name uncultured bacterium. RNAcentral describes it as "partial 16S ribosomal RNA". It matches the Rfam family "Bacterial small subunit ribosomal RNA", at positions 339 to 795 of the family's 1533-position model. The record is from RNAcentral.
CUACGGGUUGCUGCAGUGAGGAAUUUUGCGCAAUGGGGGAAACCCUGACGCAGCAACGCCGCGUGAGUGAAGAAGGCUUUCGGGUCGUAAAGCUCUGUCAAGUGGGAAAAAACAUUUCGGAUUAAUAGUCCGGAAGAUUGAUGGUACCACUGGAGGAAGCACCGGCUAACUCCGUGCCAGCAGCCGCGGUAAUACGGAGGGUGCAAGCGUUGUUCGGAAUUACUGGGCGUGAAGAGCGUGUAGGCGGGUUGGUAAGUCAGAUGUGAAGGCCCCGGGCUUAACUCGGGAAGUGCAUUUGAAACUGCCAUCCUUGAGUAUGGGAGAGGAGAGUGGAAUUCCCAGUGUAGAGGUGAAAUUCGUAGAUAUUGGGAGGAACACCCGUGGCGAAGGCGGCUCUCUGGACCAAUACUGACGCUGAGACGCGAAAGCGUGGGGAGCAAACAGGAUUAGAUACCCGCGUAGUC